UACGGAGGAUGCGAGCGUUAUCCGGAUUUAUUGGGUUUAAAGGGUGCGUAGGCGGGCUUUUAAGUCAGCGGUGAAAAUUCGGGGCUCAACCCCGUCCGGCCGUUGAAACUGGGGGCCUUGAGUGGGCGAGAAGAAGGCGGAAUGCGUGGUGUAGCGGUGAAAUGCAUAGAUAUCACGCAGAACCCCGAUUGCGAAGGCAGCCUUCCGGCGCCCUACUGACGCUGAGGCACGAAAGUGCGGGGAUCGAACAGG
RNAcentral lists this ribosomal RNA (252 nucleotides) under uncultured bacterium. Its description in RNAcentral is "partial 16S ribosomal RNA". It matches the Rfam family "Bacterial small subunit ribosomal RNA", at positions 524 to 776 of the family's 1533-position model. The record is from RNAcentral.